RNAcentral lists this ribosomal RNA (494 nucleotides) under uncultured bacterium. Its description in RNAcentral is "partial 16S ribosomal RNA". It matches the Rfam family "Bacterial small subunit ribosomal RNA", at positions 28 to 507 of the family's 1533-position model. The record is from RNAcentral.
GACGAACGCUGGCGGCGUGCUUAACACAUGCAAGUCGAACGGUGAAGCGCCUUCCGUUUUGGUGGGCGGGGGGGAGGGGCGAACGGGUGAGUAACACGUGAGUAACCUGCUCCCUUCUUCUGGAUAACCGCAGGAAAGUGUGGCUAAUACGGGAUAUUCUGUGUCGGUCGCAUGAUGGGUUUGUGGAAGCUAUUGUUUCGGUGGGGGAUGGGCUCGCGGCCUAUCAUCUUGUUGGUGGGGUGAUGGCCUACCAGGGCGGUGGCGGGUAGCCGGCCUGGGAGGGUGGCCGGCACCGCUGGGGCUGCGGCACGGACCCGCCUACUGCGGGCGGCAGCAGUGAGGAUUGUUGCACGAUGGGAGCAAGCCUGAUGCAGCGCCGCCGCGUGGGAGAUGGAGUCCUUCGGGUUGUGAACCUCUUUCGCCAGUGAAGCAGGGCUGCCUCGUUUGUGGGUGGGUUGACGGUAGCUGGAUAAGAAGCGCCGGCUAACUACGUG